GCCUACGGCCAUACCACCCUGAACGCGCCGAUCUCGAUCUCGUCUGAUCUCGGAAGCUAAGCAGGGUCGGGCCUGGUUAGUACUCGGAUGGGAGUGGCAACCAAUCCCUGUAAUAA
RNAcentral lists this ribosomal RNA (116 nucleotides) under Neogale vison (American mink). The record is from RNAcentral. Lineage: Eukaryota; Metazoa; Chordata; Mammalia; Carnivora; Mustelidae.